This 6779-nucleotide long non-coding RNA is filed under the name Sus scrofa (pig). RNAcentral describes it as "lncRNA (ENSSSCG00000062591.1)". The record is from RNAcentral. Lineage: Eukaryota; Metazoa; Chordata; Mammalia; Artiodactyla; Suidae.
CUCGCAAGAUCAUUCAGGCUCUUUCUAUAAGGAGAUGGGAGACAGAAUUUUUGGAGCUGAUGGACUCGUGAGUACAGAAUUAUGUUCAAGAAUUACCCCACUACAAAAAAACUUAACAAAUCUCAUGUAAAGGAGACACAGUGUUAAAUAUUAUUUUUAUGCCUAAUCUUUUGGUACAGUUGAAAACAGUAUACCUUACAUUCUAGGCAGUAUCAUCCUAAUUAUAAAUCACAGUUUAUUUUUAAAAAUCCAUUAAAAGUAACAGUCACUUUCCUAUACACUUUGAAUUUCAACAAUAUUCGUGUAUUAACUGUGUAAUAUUAAAAUUAAUUUUAAUGUAAUUUUUUGAAAAUAGGAGAAAUAAAUUCAGUAAUUAUUAGGUAUUUUUUCAUUAGAGCACCUUUAUUUAAAAUCAUUCUAUGAAAGAUUCUUAUGUGUCUGCCUAAUAAACUAAGCAUGGAUGAACUUAAAUAAUUUCAUUAAGUCCAUGGGAAACCAAGAAAGAAGGUGAUAUUGUAUUAAUAUGAAUUAAAUCUUUUAGAUGAAUACAUAUCUAAAUGUUGGUAUGGAUCUUAGUGGUUAUGUGUUUUUCUUCCCCUUUCAUUUUCAUAAGAGUAGAAAGGGAAUUCUGUUUGAUGAUACCGUUUUGAUUUGCAGAAAUCCAAAAAGUCCAGAAUAAAGGACAAAUCAUAAUGAAUUCAAGGGGUUGCAAUCACUGCAAAAAAAUAGAGACUUGAUUCUAUUAACUGACAUUCAAUUAAGAGGAAACUAACAAGAAUCGUCUUAGGAGUGCUUCUGAGCUCUUUCCUUAAACACUACGGUUGUAACCUCAGGGUUUUGCAAAAGUGAAUAUUGUAGGUAUAGAAGUCUCAGAUAAUUUUCCACAAUUAUACUUUGCUAAAUGAGCAGAACUGCAGUUCAAGUAGGAAAUGUCUCUGACUUCCUGGUGUCUUAGAAGAAGCCUUUGGCCAUUUGGGUGUUUUAUGUAAAUGCAGUUUUUCCUGGAGCUUGAGGAACUGAUUGGAGCUAAGGAGAAAUCCUGGAAAGAGAACAGAAAAUUCCCGGGGGCCCCUUGAAACAAACAUCUCCAGGCUAAUUCUAAGUGUCAUCACUCUGUCCUUCUCUACCUGAGCACUUGAUCCUAAAAUAAUCCCUUUAGAAACAGUUAUUGAGAUCAAAAUAUGUGCCAGGAACUGUUCAAAAGUCUUCCAUGUACUGACUCAUUUUAUCUUCACAAGACAAGAACAUAUUUAUUGAGCCUACUACUACCCUCUACUACUUUUUUGCUUUAAUCCAAUCAUAAAAACUGUAAAUUUCUCAACCAAGGGCAGACAGAAAAUGGAUCAGAUUAGCAAUAUUUAAAUCUACUACAUGCUCUUUUAAAACUGAUAUUAUAUAAUUAACUUUGAAUUUAAUCAAACCAAAUUAGAAAGCAAUGUAUUUGCCAGUGAAACUCCGUGUAAUUCUGCUGGAGAAUAGGUUUUGCUAUUUUUAAGCUGUUCCAACUCAUUGACAACUCUGAGAGUAAGCAUUUUUGACCCAUCUUGGCCUCUUUCCUAUCUCUCAGCUUCUAUAAGGCAAUUUGGUGUCCUGGUGAAUCUUCUCCAACUAGAAGUCUAAAAUCUUGGUUCUAAUUCAGAAGUUUCACCUGCCCAAAUAUAAUUCUAAUGCAAGGUGAGAUAUUCUUUUAGAAAGCCAAGUUAUAACUAAUAUUGGAAGUGUCUGUUAUGCUGUGAGCUCUGGCUAGGAGGCAUGAGGUCUGAGUUCUAGGCCUGGAUCUAUUCCCAAUUAGUUCUGACACACUGGAUUCGUAAGUUUCAUUCACAGAGUCUCCAUUCCCUCACAUAUGGAAAAGUGGUUGGAAUAAAUGAUCUAUAAGAUUUCUUCUAGCUCUAAGAGUCUAAAGUCCAUGAAAUUAAAGAAAGAAAAUAUAUCUAGGGUUAAAAAAAAAAGACAGUAACAUUUUCCAAGCUUUCAUAUUUAGAUGAGUAGGAACAAGAGGAAUAAUUUAAUUUCUAAUAUUCUAAAACAUUUUCCAGGAUUUCCACAAUGUUAUUUUUUUUUUUUGCUAUUUUUUUUAAGACUUUAAGACUAAAAUGUCUCUCUCCUAAGAAAGAGAAAGAAAAAGAAAAUGAUCAAGGGCCAUUAUUUAUUGAGGUUCAAGAAACCAGUUAACACUGCUUUUGGACACUUAAAAAAAUAUAAAUUUUUGCAAGGAAGUAGACAUCCCUCAUUUUGGCUGGGGGAAAAUAUGUAGCUCUCUAUGUCUCAUGCAGGAUCUGGGCUAUUGCCUUUCACUGGAGAUGCGAAUAUUCCUAGAGGUGUCCAAGAGUGCACAGGUUCUCUGAGCCAUUGAAAAACGUGACACAUGUUCCUGGAAUGUCAGUUUUACUUAAUGAUUUCAAAGGAAAGUGUUGUCAUUUCUAUAUGAAAAUGAACAUAGGUUUCUUAUUUAGGAGAAUAAAGUCAAGUAUUGUCGAAGACACCUGGAUUCAGAUGUUACUCUUGCUACAGUAGAUACAUCAGGUGACUAAAGCCAGUCCAAAAGGUACUCAUUUCCUUCCCUCUGUCUCUAGGUUCUUUGAAGAAAAGUCAGAGAGGCAGUGUUCCUGAGUGUGUAAGCUAUUUAUUAACAUGGUUCUAGUGUAAAUACAAAGUAAAGCUUAAGUUUUAUAAUCAGAUGCAGUUUUAAGUAGUGAAAGAGCACUUUUUUAGAGUCAAACUCAGAUCAGACUGGUAGGUCUUCCACUAGCUUUGUAGAUGGGGCACAUUGCUUCAUGUUCAAGCACUUCAGUUUCCUCAGUUAAAGAGUGGUGAGACUUAAAAAAGUUGUCAUGAGAAUUAAAUUAGAAUAUUUAGACAAGGCACCUUGCUCCAUGCUUGCAUACUGUUAAGUCUACAAUAGUACUUUUCUCUUGUCCUCUUCUUGCUUGGGAUUUUGAUAGACCUCUUUUGGAUUAUCUGAAUUCUGGCAGGUAAAUUCAGGAUUUAUCCACUUAUAGGUUUUCAAAGGAAAAAUAUGAAAUGUUGAUUAAUUACAACAAUGAUGUCAAAUUUUUUGUUAAAGCAGUCAUCAUCUUUUGUGGCUAUGUUGCUUUUUACGUACAUAGCAAGGCUCUUCAUACAGACCAUGCAAAAUGCAUAUACAUAUACCCCCUCCCAUUAACAACCUUAAAGUACAAUGCUAGAAGAAAUUUGAAGAUAAUCAGAUCCAAGCAUUUCAGGGUAGAUACAUCUGUGAUCCGUAAAGUUUUCCCAAUUUGCCUGAUAUUGACCCAGAUCCCCUAACUAUUUUUUACAAUUGAGGUUGCUCCCUUGUAUUCCACCCUCCUUUCCUUCCCCUUUUCUUCACAAGUAUUUUCAAGCACUUAUUAGGAACCAGAUAUUGUAUUAAGUACUGGCAAUACAAAGAGACUAACAGCCAUUCUGGCCCUCAGAGAGUUCAUAGGUUAGUGAAGAUGAAAGGUGACAAAUAAAUAAGAAAUGAUAUUAUAUUAAAAUAAGUGCUAACAGAGCUAUGUACACAACAUUGGGGGCUACCUAAGGAAUGGUCCUUCCUCAUUCCUAAUGUGGACUUGCUACCUAGCUUCUUUCAGAUAUAAGUUGUACUAGAUUUUUCUCUGGGUCCAAAACUUCAUAACCUAUACCUGCUUCUUUCUCCAUGCUGCCAUUUAUUCAAAAACCUAUUGAAUAGAGAACUGUGCUAGUCCUUGCCAUUCAUGUAGAAAGCCUGUGUGCGUGUGUGUGCGUGUGUGUGUGUGUGUGUGUAUGUGUGUAUUUGUGUUGGAUGAACGUAGUCCAUUAAGAAGAACAAAGAUUGAAGAUACAGCAUUGCUUGGAUAAGAAAAGUUUGGGCAUGAAUGAUUUCAAAAUCAAAUUAAAAUAGAAGUCAUUUCUCAAAAGUGUGAGAGAAGACUAACCCAUGGAGAGAAGAGAUAAAGGAUGGUGUAAGCAAGGGAAGAAACCAUGUAAUUAGCUAUUUUAUAAGAGAAAAAUACUUUUUGAAUAAAAUCAGCAACAUUGGAUAAAGAUUACAGAUGAAAGAUAAUAGUUCUAAUUUUGGCUUAUUCAAAUUGGAAACAUAUUUGGAGCUUAUUCAGUUUUUAUCAAUUUUUAUUUUAUUUACAAAUUAAGUAUAGUAUUGCUGUUCACUUGGACUUGAGGCUUACACAAAAGUCAGUGAUCAACACUAAGCCCCUUAAUUAUUUCACUGGGCACAUACCAUGCUAUUUAGAAUGUGUCUACAAUCAGGUACUAUCAAACAUCCAGUGUGCCAGUGUGUACAAGGAUCACCUAAUCACAUGGGCAUGUAUCUGCAAAGGCAAUAACAAGGGGCUUCAGAUCCACAGCAGCUCUCAUGCUGACUCAUAAAGAGACAGCUGUCACGAUAGACUUGGCAGGGUCCUUCGAGCAGCCCCCAUGUGAGAACCAUGGAAGAAGUUGGCAUAGCACUGAUAUGGCUGGGAAGUGACUCAGAGGGAAAUCAGCCAUUUUCGUGAUAGUAUGGUGAUGCACUUUCUUUCUCUGGCCAGUUUCCAAAGAUCCUCAAUUAAGGAUAUCCCAGAAUGGUUCUAGAAUAUGCUCAGAUCUCACACUUUGCUUUGGAAGCCAUCAUCUCCCUCCUCGAGGGCCCAAUAAUUACAACAUUGUCUUCAGUGAUAGAAGGAAAUCAACCUUUCUCUGUACUUAAAUCUCAACAGGAAUAAGUAAAUGCCUGUUUCUGCUGCCGAGGAUGGAGGGUCAGAGAGGGUCCAGGUUUUAUGUUGAGCCUUUGAAGAAGCACGUCAUUUUUUUUUUCCCCAUUGGAAUGUAUUUUUCCAUUGGAAUGUGAAAUGUAAAUGACUAUUCAUUUGUAAAUUGUUUAAAAUACCAUUACAACCAAUUAUAGUUUUUUAAAAGUCACUUGCAAUAGGCACACAUAUUGAUGUCAUUCAUCUAAUUUCUUAUCUGUGAAAGUUACUAUUUCACUUCUAACUCCUUAGACUUAGUUAAGUCUCCUUUAUUUAUGCUUUCAGUAUUCCUCAUAAAAUUUCUUUAUAGCACAUAAAACAGAUUUUAAUUGCAUAGUUUUAUAAGUAUUUGCUGUCCUCCUCAUCAUAUUAUAAGCUUCAUAAGGGCAGAGUGCAUGCUUCUUUCACUUGCCUUAUAGCCUCAUCAUCUGUCCUAGUGCCUGGCACGUAGUAGAAAUACUACAAAUGAAUGAAUGUUAGGAUGGUUGGAGGAAAGGGUGUGUAUGAUGAAUAAAGGGCAGUGCUAGAUACUGAGGAUAUAUAUUAAGAUGAAGGCAAGAAGCUUAAUUUGCUACCUUCAGGAAGUUUACUGUCUGUGUUGGGCAGUGAAGGAACAAAGAAGGGAGCAUAAGUAACUGUAAUAUAUGACAUAAAUGAUGUAUCAUAAAUCACAGGUGAAAAUAAAGCAAUGUAAGGGAAGAUAUUACUUAUUUACAACACAAUUUUAAUGGGAAAAACGUAUAUCACAAGUUACAUUCCCAUAAUAUUCAUUCUUAUUCUCAACCUAGUGCAUAAAAUAUACUAUUAAGCAGAAUGCUCUUAACCUUUAAUGUCAAAAAUAAGUGUCUCGACAAAGCCAUUGGAUAAGAUGGUAUUGUAUCUAUCCCAACAGUAAGGCAUAGUAAUAAUUUAAAUGUCUUUUUAUUUUUAGGAAAAAUUAAAUUGUGUUCAGUGUAGACUCAAGUGGAUAUUAUUACCUGUAGAAUAUUUUUUAAAUGGCGCUGCAGCAUCUGGAAGGUCCUAGGCCAGGGAUUUAAUGUGAGCCACAACUGCAAACUAUGCCAUAGCUGCUGCAAUGCAGCCAGGUUGGGGAUGGAACCCAUGCCUCUGUAGAAACCUCUGCAGUCAGAUUCUUAACCCAUUGGUCCACAGUGGCAACUCCCUACCUGUAGAUCUUUUAUUUUUAUAUCAUUGUGAAAAGUUUGGUGGGCUUUGCAGCAGUGCGGAUUUGUGUUGAAACCUAGCCCUGCUAGACUGGUCUAGAGGAAGUUUUUAAUUUUUUUAGCUUUAUUUUCCUCAUCUAAAUAGGAGUGAAAACUAACUUUGUAGGAUUGCCAUAGUAUAGUAUUUUUUAUAUGUAACACUGUUUGGCACAAUCUAGAUGCUCCAUAAAUAUUAGCUUUUUUAUAAUGGCAAUUAUAUUAUUUUUAAACACCUACUAUUUGCACAGAGUUUUUAAUUGGUCCCUGAAUAUGUGCUAGAAAAUUGAAUAUGGCCCAGUGCUCUUGAAAGAGCUUACAGCCUAUUCUAAGAGAAGUUUUAGAGGGCAGAAAAGGAAGUGAAAUAAAUAACAAGAUGACAAGAAUAUUAUAGCAAUUUAAUAUAAUGCAACAUAUGUGAUUAGAACACUUUGGGGAUGAUCAUGGAGGAUUCCAUGAGGAAAGUGUACAUUGAAAGGGCUUAUUUAGAUGAAUAAAAUAAAGCUAAGAGAUGGAGUUCCUGUUGUGGCUCAGCAAGUUAAGAACCCAACAUAGUAUACAUGAAGAUGCAGGUUCAAUCCCUGCCUUUGCUUAGUGGGUUAGGAAUCCAGGGUUGGAGUUCUCAUCGUGGCACAGUGGUUAACGAAUCCGACUAGGAACCAUGAGGUUUUGGAUUUGAUCCCUGCCCUUGCUCAGUGGGUUAAGGAUCCAGCAUUGCCAUGAGCUGUGGUGUAGGUUGCAGACACGGCUCGGAUCCCACGUUGCUGUGGCUCUGGCAUAGCCUGGCGGCUACAGCUCCGAUUCAACCCCUAGCCAGGGAACCUCCAUAUGCCGCAGAAGGAAGUGGCUC